This is a long non-coding RNA of Selaginella moellendorffii, 277 nucleotides long. RefSeq lists it as uncharacterized. Lineage: Eukaryota; Viridiplantae; Streptophyta; Lycopodiopsida; Selaginellales; Selaginellaceae. The record is from RefSeq and is a predicted model, not a curated record. The transcript has 3 exons.
AUCUCCAGUUUGGGCGUCUUACCAGAAAAAUGGUGGACAGCCUUCGCCGGCCAUGAGCUUUGAUUUCCGUUUCAAGCUAUGGUGGAUCAUUCUCGCGAGUCUCGCCGUCAAUAUAGCUUGGCAAAAGGUCGUAGUGGAAGGCCCACUGGCACGGAUUUUAGCUGCAAAGUAUCCCUCAAAGCGACAAAAGCUACACAUUUAGAGUAUAUUUUUAGAAUCGCCAAGAAUGUACGGUACCAAAAAUUUAAAUCUGAAGGGCAAACGCCAUCUUGAAUUC